AAAAAGACAAAUCCUGGUUUCCGUGUCCAACGUUUGACCGUCCGUCUUAUUUGAAAAAAUUAUGAAAAAAAUUAAAAAGAUAAGUCACGCAUAAAGUAUUAAUCAUGUUUAAUCAUCUAACAACAAUGAAAAUACUAAUUAUAAAAAAAUUUCUUAUAAGACAGACAGUCAAACAUUGGUAUGGAAAUCCAUGGUUUGCCUUUUU
Molecule: non-coding RNA, 205 nt
Organism: Oryza barthii
Lineage: Eukaryota; Viridiplantae; Streptophyta; Magnoliopsida; Poales; Poaceae
Source: Rfam